GACCCUUCAUUAGGACUGGGAAGGAAUGUGACAGGAGCCAGAAUAAAAUGGUUGGGGAUGAGAACCAGCUGACAGGUGACGGGUGAGACAGCGUGAGGGGGAACGUGGGGGAGGGUAAUGCUGAGAGGGGACAGGUGGAAGAGGUAAAGGGCUGGAGAAGUAGGAAUCUAAUACGAGAGGACAAUCGACCAUGGAAGAAACGGGAGGAACUGGGCUGUUUGCGGCCCUGAAUGGCGACGAGGGAGGAGGUUAGGAGUCAGGUGUAGCAAAGGACAAAGGAAAUAUGUUAAGUUAACGUUAGUUUUUACCUUGUAGAUUUUAACAGCUUCUUUAAUCGGCAUGAAGCGGUGCUCUCUGUGUUCCUGCGCGUCUCUACAGAUCACACAGAUCAGUGUCCUGUCCGUUUCACAAAACAGCUUCAAUUCUUCCUCAUGUUCCUCGCAGUGACGUUUACUUUCCUUCCCUUUCGGAUUCAGGCUUAGAUUCCGAACUUUUUGUGUCAGAUUUGCUAAGGCCCGAUUCACCCUGAGGGUGCGGUCAGCAAACUCCUCUCUACAUUCCGGGCAGGAGUUUCUCUGCUCCCUUUCCCAAUACUGUGUGAUACAAGAGCGACAGAAGUUGUGUCCACACUCCAGUAUAACCGGAUCGGUGAAGAAAUCCAGGCAGACGGGGCAAAUUACCUCCUCGGUCCAACUGUCGGUCUCUCCUUUCGAAGCCAUGUUAACUCCAGCACUUACUGAUUCAGAAUGCUUUCACUUUCGGGGAGCUGCUGAUCCCCUGCAGUACCGGGAUUGUCCACUACGCGCGCUGCAGACUCGGGGAAUCACACAACACACACAAUGCUGGUGGAACACAGCAGGCCAGGCAGCAUCUGUAGGGAGAAGCACUGUCGACGUUUCGGGCCGAGACCCUUCAUCAGGACAGCAGUAAUCGUGCUGCCCGUUGGAGAGAUCUGGUGAUGAGGCAUUCUGCCAGAUGGUCUGGACUGUCUGCUCAGGGAACCACUCCACUGUGUCCAUCCAGUCCUUCUCCUGCAGUAACUGCAGGACAUUCCGUGCUGACCACUGUCUGGUGUUCUUGUGGUCAAAGCUGCUGGUCUAAAAGAACUGUCACCAAUUUCAUUAACACAAGGUUCACAUGGAGAAGCUUCCCGACUGAGACAGACACAGUCUCAUGGGGUAUUUACAGGGUAGGGGCAGGAAUGAUGUUUUUCCUGGCUGGGCAGUGGAACCAGGGAUCGCAGACUCAAAAUCCGAGGCCACCUCAGCAGGACUGAGAUGAGGAGAAAUUUCCCCAACACAGUGCAGUGAAUAUUUGGAGUUUUCUCCACAAGUUUCCUAAAGUAAACGGACAUAUUUAGGAGCUCGGCGAUGUUGGGAACGUUUCAGGAAAGUGGCGCUGAGGUCAAAGUUCAACAUGUUCUGAGUGAGGGGCAGAACAGUGCAACGGGCCGAGUGGCAACGCCUGCUCCUGUUUCUUAUUUUCUAAAUCACGAAUUUACCUUUGCGCCUUGUUCUCCCUUGGCCUUCCGCCUGUCGGAUUGCACAGGGGAGCGGUGAGAGCUCCGGAGAUCCAUCAGCAGCCGCUGCGGUUAUUUCAUGCUGUUGUUAUUUUAUCGGUGUUUCUCUGUUUUUGCACAGUUUGUUACCUUCAGCACUCUGGCUGAUCUUUCACUGCCUGCUUCUGUUAUGGUUACUAUUCUAUACUUUUUCUAAGUACGUCCGCAGGAAAAUGCUUCUCGGGGUUGAAUGUGGUGAUUUAUCUGUACUCUGAUAAUAAAAUUUACUUUGAAAUUUGAGUUUCGGGGAUUUUCCUUUAAUUCUGGGGACAAACUGUGACUGACAUCUCCAGCUCCCAGCAGCAGCCCGUUCUCACACAUACACAGCCAAUCAGCGACCACCGCUGGGAGAGGGAUGCUGCCAUUGGCUGAGGGGUGUCAGUGGGCGGGACGCUGUUUGGACCGGGACCGAGUGGGCCGGAGACCGGGAGCUGCGCCUCGGGUUUCGGCUGCACCACCGGCGGGUCGUGAAUCCUUUCGAAGGCAGAGCUGAAGCGACCGGCGGAGAUUCCGUGAGAUGUUUCAGCUGCACGGAGGGCGCCCGGCCUUUCCCCGCCGAGGAUCGGGGCCUGUUGUCUGGAGUUGUCUCCCAGACCCGUCCCUUCCUGCUGGGAGACGGGAGCUGCCCCGCAGCGGCUGCCGGUGGAUCUCCGGAGCUCUCACCGCUCCCUUGUGCAAUCCGAACGGCUGAAAACCAAGGGAGAACAAGGCGCAAAGGGGCAAGACCAGAACAUGUGGGUCAAUAAAGCGACUUCAGAAUGACAUCUGUGACAGGCUGGAUUAACAUAAGAAUAAAAUCGAGCGAGUUUAUCCUUGGACAUGUGAGCCCUAUGAACAACCUGAAAUUGUAUUAGGCAUGUUUAGCACAAAUAAAAGAAGAAUUGAUUAAUUGUAAAAUGUUCUCCCACUGCCCUGUGGGUAUAAGACUAUGAAGUUCUUUUUCCCAUUCCUUCUUAAUUGUUUCUGAUACUCCUGGCUGUAUUUUCAUGAUCAUAUUAUAAAUAAUAGCUACUAAACCCUUCUGACAAGGAUUCAGAGCCAGAAUUUUUUUCUGUAAUGUCCAUUGGACAUAAUUUCAGAAAAGACUAACAUUCAAGAAAUUGCUAACUUGCAAGUAUCUAAAAAAAAAUGAGUUUUAGGCUGGAUAGCUGUUCAAAGGACAUAAAACUGUUAUCUAAAAAUAGAUCACGAAAACAUGUUAUACGUUUUGUUUUCCAUAACACAAAGGCUUAGUCCAUAAAAGAGGGCUGGACAAAAAGUUAGAUAUAAUAGGGGUUGAUAAGAUAAACUUAUUCAAGCUGAAGAAUUUACGAAAUUGAAACCAUAUUCUUAGUGUAUGUUUAACUACAGGAUUAGUUAUUUGUUUAUUUGGUUUAGAUAAAGCAAAAGGAGGCAAAGAUCCUAAAAUAGAAAACAAUGAGAAGUCUUGUACAGAUUUACACUCCAAAUUUACCCAUUGUGGGCAAGGUACUACAACCAAUUCUCGUGUCCAAAAUAUUAAAUAUUGAAUAUUAACUGUCCAAUAGUAAAAUCUCAGGUUUGGCAAAGCAAAACCACCUUCCUUCUUAGGCUUCUGUAAAUAUAUUUUACUUAAUCUAGGAUUUUUAUUCUGCCAGACAUACGAGGGUAUUUUGGAGUCAAUAAUAUCAAAAGAAGAUUUAGGAAUAAAAAUUGUUAAUGCUUGGAAUAAAUAUAAAAAUUUGGGUAAUACUAUUAUCUUGAUAGUAUUAAUUCAACCAACCAAUUACGGAGAUAAUGGGGACCACCUGGUAACGAGUUGCUUGAUUUGUUCAAUUAAAGGUAAAAAAUUAACUUUAAAUAAACCCUUAUGUUUCUUGGUAAUUUUAAUACCCAAAUAAGUAAAAUGAUCUGUGACAACUUAAAACAGUAAGUGUUUAUAAAUUGGAACUUGCAUAUUUAAUGGAAAUAAUUCACACUUAUUAAAAUUCAGUUUGUAGCCAGAAAAGCUACUAAACUGAGCAAGCAAGGAUGAAACAGCAGGAAUAGAUCUCUCAGGGUCAGACAUGUAUAGUAGCAAAUGAUUAGCAUAUAAUAAUAUCUUAUAAGUCCCUUACCCACGAGUAAUACCAAAAAUAUUAGGUGAUUCACGAAUGGCAAUGGCUAAAGGUUCCAAAGCAAUGUCAAAUAAUAGAGCACUUAAAGGGCAGCCUUGCCUCGUACCACGGGACAACUGAAAAAAAGGAGAUCUUUGAUUAUUGGUAAGAAGUGAAGCCAAAGGUUUAUAAUACAUUAAUUUAAUCCAUGAUAUAAAUUUCAAGCUAAAAUUAAAAUUCUGCAAUGUAUUAACUAAAUAUAGCCAUUCAAAUCUAUCAAACGCUUUUUCAGCACCUAAAGAAAUGACAUUCUAGUAUUUUAGAUGAAGAAGUAUAAAUUAUUUUAAUUUAUUUUCUAAUGUUAAAAGAUGUAUAACAGAUUUUAAUAAAUCCGGUCUGAUCUUCAGAGAUAAUUUGAGAUAAUACAUUUUCUCAUGUAGUGGCCAAAAUUUUGGUAAAAAUCUUAGAAUCCGUAUUCAGCAAGGAUAUUGGCCAAUAGGAUGCAAAUUCAGAGGGGUCUUUAUCUUUUUUAACAAUUGGAUUAAUGGAGGCAUCAUAAAAAGAUUGUGGUUAUUUACCUACAGUUAACGCAUCUUUAAAAAUUUUACAAAGCCAAGGAGCGAGUAUAGAAGAAAAGGAUUUAAAAAUAUUCAGCAGUAUAACCGUCUGGACGAGGGGCUUUACCUGAAUUCAUUGAAAACGGGAGUGGGUUCCCCUUUCCAGACCCUGCCCGGGGACUUGUGCCACUCCUCAGGGUUAUAUAUGGAACCUCUCGGACACGGACAGGGAGUGGGUUCCCCUUUCACAGGCAGACGCUCGUUGGUGACCGGGAGCCACCAGAGGGGCUGAUGUAAUACAGGCCCUGGCACGGUGGGUCACUGAGGUAAGGGAACCCAUUUGAAUGACAGCCCGACUGCAUGCGGAUUUUGAGAAUUUAUCUGAUAACUGCAGAGAAAAGGAGAAUCCCUUGCGUACUUUAUAGCUCGUUUUAAGGAUACAUGAGAGUCCAAUGCCGGCAAAUCCCUGGACAGAUCAGUGUGUCCAGCUGGCAGUGCAGACUUUUUUAAACUGUCUCAGGCCCAAGCCUGCCCACUCCAUUAAGUAAACUAAUCUCAAUUCGCUGUGUCAGACCUGGCCCCGGGUGACAUAAAUUCUGAUGAAUAGGGAGCGCAAUUGACUCUUUAAAGGGACUGUGGAAAAGCGAGAGUGUGCACAGAGAACCGGUAGUGAGGAGAUGGAGUUCGGGUCCCGACGAAGAACCCAGAACGGGUGGCAGGAUCGUGCGGAUGGUGCAGAUGAAGAGGACACUUGGCUAAGGACAGAAAAGGAGUUUGUAGAAAGAGGGGACAUUAGGCCGGAGACUGUCGCACUGGAAUCACAGACAAGAAUAAUAAGGGGCAGGAAGUGAUUCUGGGUGACAGUGAUACUCGAUAGUGUACCACAUUUACUAUCCACAAUUCCUUCGAUCCCGGAUAGGGCAGGCCAGAGGGGACAGAUCACAGUGAUACUCGACAGAGUACCACAUUUACUGUCCACAAUCCCUUUGGUCCCGGAUAGUGCAGGCCAGAGGGGACGGAUCACAGUGAUACUCGACAGAGUACCACAUUUACUCUCCACAAUCCCUUUGGUCCCGGAUAGGACAGGCCAGAGGGGACGGUGAUACAGGCGGCUGUGAUCAGGCUCACCAUACAGGCAGGCUCUUUUCUCACUGCUGUAAUCAGGUAGAAGGUACAAGAGCCUCAGGACUCGCCCCACCAGGGUCAGGAACAGUUACUACCCCUCAACCAUCAGGCUGUGGAACAACACAGGAUAACUGCACUCACUUGAUGUCCAUAGAGUUGCUCCCACAACAAAUGAUCGUACUGGGACUGUCUCAAAAUGAGUGAAACAAGAGGUGGUUUAACUGAGACAGAUUGUAUUCCUGUCUCAGAAUUAGAGAAAUAUAAUCUCACAAGAUAUUUAAAGUGGAUGUGCUGGAAUGAUGUUUCCCAGAAGGUGUGGAACCAGCACUCACAAACUCAGAAUACGAGGAGAACUGAGCAGGACUGAGGUUAGGAGAAAUGUCCUCACCCAGAGUGCAGUGAAUCAUUGCAAUUAUCUCCACAAGGUUUCGGAAUUGAAUAGACAUAUCCUGGGGCUCAGCGGUGAUGGAAAGUUGCAGGAAAGUGGUGCUGAGGUCAAAAGUCAAGCAUGUUCUGAGUUGAAGGACAGUGGUAGCGCAAGGGCCGAAUGGCCACGCCUUCUCGAUUUCUUGUUUUCUGAAACACUCGGUAACCUUUGUGCCUCACUGUUUCUUGUCCUGUCAGAUUGAACAGGGAGAGCUGAGAGCACCGGACAUCUAUCGGCAGCCGCUGCGGUUAUUUCAUGUUCUCAUUGUUUAUUUGCAUUGGCGAAGUUUGUUGUCUUCUGCACUCUGGUUGAUCUUUCAGUGAUCCAGAUAUAGUUACCAUUCUGUAGCUUUGCUCUGCAUGUUUGCAGGAGUUGUUUGUGGCGACUUAUAUGUACUCUGUUAGUUUUUGGAAUAGUCACUUGGGGAAUCUGAGGUGGAGGAGUAUUUGGGGCUUAUUUUAAAUUAUACAUAGAUAUUAACCAAAUAAUGUUUAUUUGACAAGGGUUAAUUCUGAUAUUGAGACUAACUGUUCUUUUUGUGGUUGAUAUCCAGAGGAUUUAUUUCAUCUGUUUUGGGAUUGUGAAUAUGUUAAAACAUUUUGGUUUGAUGUUUGUCAAUUUAUAGAUUAAUAUAUUAAUGUGGAUUUUACUUUUUGUUUUGAAAAUGUCUUAUUGGGUUUACUAGUAAUACCAAAUCUCACAGGGAUCAUUUCUCUAUCAUAAAUCUUUUGUUAAUUUACAGCAAAUUUUGUAUCCAUAAAUGCAAACACAGCAAUAAGAAACCUUCAUUUAGAUUUUUACCUCAGACUUCAAACUAUACGUUUAUACUCUGAACAGUUCCCGUAACCAGAAACCUGUAAAGACUGUACAAAUCUGUCAAUGUUUUGUGUUAUCUCUGUAAAUGUUCUUGUUUUGUGACUCCUCUAAGAUACAGUCCCUUCUGUCCAACAGUAUUUAGAGCGGAUUUCCUUGUUUAUUUGUAUAUUUAAAGUUAAUAGUUAUAUAUUCGUUGUUGCUUUUGUGUGAUUUCCUGGCUUUGUUAGCAUAUGUUUAGUGUUUCUGUUUUUGUUUGUGUUCAAUAAAAAUUUAAAAUAUUGAAAAAUAAUAAUAAAAUUUACUUUGAACUUUGA
This is a long non-coding RNA of Hypanus sabinus (Atlantic stingray), 6851 nucleotides long. RefSeq lists it as uncharacterized. The transcript is spliced from 2 exons. The record is from RefSeq and is a predicted model, not a curated record. NCBI's taxonomy places the organism in Eukaryota, Metazoa, Chordata, Chondrichthyes, Myliobatiformes, Dasyatidae.